RNAcentral lists this ribosomal RNA (429 nucleotides) under Fusobacteriota bacterium. Its description in RNAcentral is "Fusobacteria bacterium partial 16S ribosomal RNA". It matches the Rfam family "Bacterial small subunit ribosomal RNA", at positions 355 to 776 of the family's 1533-position model. Lineage: Bacteria; Fusobacteriati; Fusobacteriota. The record is from RNAcentral.
UGGGGAAUAUUGCGCAUUGGGCGAAAGCCUGACGCAGCGACGCCGCGUGAGGGAUGAAGGUUUUCGGAUCGUAAACCUCUGUCAGAAGGGAAGAAACCGCACUGUGCUAAUCAGCAGUGCCUUGACGGUACCUUCAAAGGAAGCACCGGCUAACUCCGUGCCAGCAGCCGCGGUAAUACGGAGGGUGCAAGCGUUAAUCGGAAUUACUGGGCGUAAAGCGCACGUAGGCUGCUUUGUAAGUCAGGGGUGAAAUCCCACGGCUCAACCGUGGAACUGCCUUUGAUACUGCUUAGCUUGAAUCCGGGAGAGGGUGGCGGAAUUCCAGGUGUAGGAGUGAAAUCCGUAGAUAUCUGGAGGAACAUCAGUGGCGAAGGCGGCCACCUGGACCGGUAUUGACGCUGAGGUGCGAAAGCGUGGGGAGCAAACAGG